Molecule: long non-coding RNA, 1575 nt
Filed under: Calidris pugnax (ruff)
Lineage: Eukaryota; Metazoa; Chordata; Aves; Charadriiformes; Scolopacidae
Description: lncRNA (ENSCPUG00000013070.1)
Source: RNAcentral
GGUCAAAACUUGAAUGUGAGAAGUCUCGUUUGUUGAUGAAAUUCGAUGUAUACAGGGGAGAAGGGGCAAGGGCAGAGAAGGCUUCUGGAUCAGUCAGUGGUCAGACAGUUCCUGCAGUUCCCUCUCUGAUGAGGAGAGUUUCGAGUUUCCAGUCUCUUCCUGCUGUUCCUGAGGACGGAAUCCCAGGACUGUGUUGUCCCACCUCCCGCCAGGACAGGGGGAACUCCCCCCCGGGCACCUGGGACCCCCCAGGAAAUGGGGGACACCCCUGCCGCAUUUUUCGGACCCUCCCGAGUCGCAGGCGGUCCGCAUGGAAGACAGCGAACCAAGGAGACGACAGUGACGCAUGCGCAGUAGCGACACCGAAGCCGCGCGGUUGCCAUGGCAACAACGGUCAAACAGGAAGUCGCUGCGGCGCAUGCGUAGAACUGACUAUGAAGCAGCACAGUUGCCAUGGCAAGAGCAAGCAAUUGACCGAGAGCAGGAGAGACACGUUUUUCAGCAAGAGAUACAGAAGCCGGAACAACUUCAGCUUAAGAUUCCACAAAGGAUUCAGCCUGUCAGUGAACAUCUGAGCAGAGAGGUAACGCGUGGUAUGACUUGAACUCAAGGAAUAGAAACGGUACGCUGAUGGCUGUUCAGAUCCUCUAAGGAAACUAAUUGAUGGUUUACCUAACAUGCAUCCAUUCAGAAGCCAGGAAAGUCCAUCCCCUCAGAUGAAGGGUACCAUGGUGGGCAAAUGUGGGGAAACUGUCCCCUGGGUGUUUUUUGAGUCAGUUGGUUGGGUGGUUUCAGUAGCAGAGACACAGAAACUUCAUAAUUUUCAAAAAGACUCACUUUUAGGAGUACUUUAGCAUUUCCCCGUGUUGUUCUGUGAUCCCCUGUUUGUAGGGCAGGUAGAAGCACGGCAGGGACGAUGUUACCAAGGCAUCAGACCUGAGAUGCAGUGGCACUCUCUGUGUGCACGUACCCAGGUGUCCUGCUUUGAAGUAAAACCGGACCAAUUUUGUGUUCUGUAACUUUAUAUUUUAGCUAGACCUCCUCUAACUCUCUGAAAUUAACGGCAUAUUGUGGAGAAAAGUGCUCAUUCUCCGAGUGAUAAGACCAAUGUUUGUGCUACAUGCCAAGGAAUGGUAUGCAGAGAGGCCCUUGCUUAUACUUCUUGCUAUAACAACCAAGGUCAGCCAAUUUGCGUUAUUUGCCCCUUAGAGGGUUGGAAAUGGAAAAACGUAGAGGGGUCACAUCUGUGGGGAGGAACGGACAGGACAGGAGAGGUGACCCAAAUCUGACCAACUGGGGUAUUCUAUCCCAUCUGCUCCCUGCUCAGUAUAAAAGCUUGAGGGAUCAAAGGGUCAACUCUCUUCCUGUGUUGGCCGACAUCCGAAGAGGACCCUGUCUGUUGAUCUGCCUUUGAUCCCGAUCUGUGUGUUCAUGACUCCAGAGCUGGAACCCAGUUCCCAUCUGUCGCUGCGCCCAGUCUGGGACUUCCUCAGUGCCUGCCAGUGAUGGGACUGUCAUCCUGGGAGUUUGAUACGGUUUUGUAUAUAUUGUAUCUAUUUCAUUAUUUUUUUCCUC